Molecule: ribosomal RNA, 776 nt
Filed under: uncultured Neocallimastigales
Lineage: Eukaryota; Fungi; Neocallimastigomycota; Neocallimastigomycetes; Neocallimastigales
Description: partial large subunit ribosomal RNA
Rfam family: Eukaryotic large subunit ribosomal RNA
Source: RNAcentral
GUAGUCUCGCACAGAUGCAUAUCAAUAAGCGGAGGAAAAGAAACUAACUAGGAUUCCCUCAGUAACGGCGAGUGAAGCGGGAAGAGCUCAAAUUUGAAAUCUUCAAGGUUCUACCUUGACGAAUUGUAGUUUAAAGAAGUGUUUUCUGUUGGAGUUUUGGUAAAAGUUCUUUGGAAUAGGACAUCAUAGAGGGUGAGAAUCCCGUAUUUGACCAUUAUUUCCAGCUUUGUGAUACACUUUCAAAGAGUCGGAUUGUUUGGGAAUGCAGUCCAAAAUGGGUGGUAAAUUUCAUCUAAUGCUAAAUACUGGCGAGAGACCGAUAGCGAACAAGUACCGUGAGGGAAAGAUGAAAAGAACUUUGAAAAGAGAGUUAAACAGUACGUGAAAUUGUCAAAAGGGAAGCGUUUGACACCAGUGUUGUUUUCUCGAAAAUCAAUUAAAAAAGGCAGGAUUUUGUGUUGUAUUGACUUUAUCAGCUUUCUGCACUCUUUUCUUGUCUUUUUUUAAUGCACUUUUCGUUUAACAAGUCAACAUCAAUUUCUUUUGUUGUAAAAGGGUCAUUGGAAGGUGGCUUUCUUUUCGGAGAAAGUGUUUAUAGCCUUUGGCCUCUGCAAUCGGAGAGAUUGAGGUCUGCAGGCGUAGAUCCUUCGGGGUUAGAUACAUUUGUGCUAAGUUAUAGCCUUUCAUAGACAACUUGUUGACUAUGAUCAGUCAUGUAGCUUACUCGCUUAUGCUAUUUUACCUACGCUUAGGAUGUUGAAGUCAUCGUAUCGCGC